RNAcentral lists this ribosomal RNA (460 nucleotides) under uncultured bacterium. Its description in RNAcentral is "partial 16S ribosomal RNA". It matches the Rfam family "Bacterial small subunit ribosomal RNA", at positions 338 to 795 of the family's 1533-position model. The record is from RNAcentral.
CCUACGGGUGGCAGCAGUGAGGAAUAUUGGUCAAUGGACGCAAGUCUGAACCAGCCAUGCCGCGUGCAGGAAGACUGCUCUAUGAGUUGUAAACUGCUUUUGUACGAGGGUAAACGCAGAUACGCGUAUCUUUCUGCAAGUAUCUUACGAAUAAGGAUCGGCUAACUCCGUGCCAGCAGCCGCGGUAAUACGGAGGAUUCGAGCGUUAUCCGGAUUUAUUGGGUUUAAAGGGUGCGUAGGCGGUCGGAUAAGUUAGAGGUGAAAUCCCGAGGCUCAACUUCGGAAUUGCCUUUGAUACUGGUAGGCUAGAGAGGAGUUGAGGUAGGCGGAAUGUAUGGUGUAGCGGUGAAAUGCUUAGAGAUCAUACAGAACACCGAUUGCGAAGGCAGCUUACCAAGCUACGUCUGACGUUGAGGCACGAAAGCGUGGGUAGCAAACAGGAUUAGAUACCCCAGUAGUC